Molecule: long non-coding RNA, 1605 nt
Filed under: Olea europaea subsp. europaea
Lineage: Eukaryota; Viridiplantae; Streptophyta; Magnoliopsida; Lamiales; Oleaceae
Source: RNAcentral
AAAACCACUAGGUUUGCAAUGAAUAAUUUUGAGAUCCCAAAAACUAUUGUACUUGUUCCAGGAUUACUGAAUCCUUGUUGCUAUUUGAACAGGAAGCAUUUCCUAAAGUGCCCUCCAGGCAUGUUAAACAGGCACUACGAAAAGUUGAUCCAGUGUGAGAUGCAUCUUUAUAUUUUGAGCCGAUAGCUCGAGAUAUUUAUAGACUCACCAUAGUUUGAAAUACAUGCUUCUACUUCUAAAAGUUCAGAAGAAUCCAUAGGUCGUGAAUUUGAUCGAGUGGCUGCUGCUCAAGGAUAUUUGCCCUUUAGCUUCCAAAAUGUCGAAUUAGAAGCUGGCUCACAAUCACCUUCCUUGAGUUUUGGAUAAAAUCCUAUUGGCGUGACUGCUGAAAACGUGUCUAUAGAAGCCUCGUCCUCCAUCUCAGGUACUAUAAAUUGCACUUCUCUAUCGAGAGUAUAACUGACACGACCUGUCCCGAAUCAUCCUAAUAGACCUGACAUGUGUCGUGCGUCGAUGGUAGAUACCAGUUAAGUGCCGGACCCACCUUCAAGGCAACAUUGACUUGUAUUGACUAUGAUAUGCUUUGUAAAAAUUUUGACAGAGUUUUCCCUGAAUUAUAGACUAAAACCACCUGAAAUAUAUAAUCCAAUAUCCCAAACAGAUACAUAUAAUUUAAAAUAGGCUCACAGAAAAUCAACUAUUCAAAUACAACACUGGCAAUCCGACCUUUGCAACAAUUUAUAAACCACAGUACCCAAAAUGCAUAAUAUAUACAAAACAUAGCAGGCCCAAAACAUGGAACUAAUUUCUGACCAAAAGAGACGUCUAUUCCAAAUUAUGAGCUAUUAAACUGAUAAGAUGAGUCAUACAAUACUUGACAAUUUAUAGUUCAACUCGAUAGAUCAACUAGCCCAGUAGUGCUCAACUCAGCUACUAUUUGAUAAGAGAAAUUGUAAAAAAAAAUGUGAGCCUAUAACUCAGUGAGUGGAUAAUUUUGUAAAUAAAAAUACCUUUUCCAUUUAUGCUAAUAUUCUAAAAACUAGUUUAUGAUAAAAAUAUCAUUCACAGUACUUUAAGCUAAAUCUUUAUUCUUUAAAUUGAAAAGCUAAAUUCUGUAUUCUGUAAUCUGAUAAGUUGUACAACACUGAAAAGUUACACCAAAAAAGGUACCUGAAAUAACUAUACUCAUGUAUCGGUUUACACCGAUAGACAUGGCAAAGCUAUUCAAUUCUGUAAUUCUGAAAUUUUGUAAUUCUGAAAUUCUAUAAUUCUGAUAAGUAGAUGUAAAGUUAACGAAUAAUCUGAUAUUCAUGAAAAUCUAUGAAAUAUUGCUAUUGGUCAAUACUAUAAGUUGAAAGUUUUAUUCUGGAAACUAAGUUAACUGAAUUCCAUAAUCUGAAAUCUGAGAAUUGAAUAAAUACUGAAAAAUCACACCAAAAAGAGUACCCAAUGAAUAGCCUUACUCAUGUACAGAGUAAUCUCGAUGUACAAGGCAAAGCCAUUCAAAUCUGAUAAUCUGGUCAUACGUAUGCAGAGCUGCCCUAAAGGCUAAUCACCCUAGUACACUGCCCAAAGCCUAUUUGUGUACGAGAGUGAGUCCCAAAG